This 71-nucleotide transfer RNA is filed under the name Marmota monax (woodchuck). Its description in RNAcentral is "tRNA.Ala". The record is from RNAcentral. Lineage: Eukaryota; Metazoa; Chordata; Mammalia; Rodentia; Sciuridae.
GGGGUUGUAGCUCAGUGGUAGAUAACUUGCCUUGCAUGCAUGAGACACUGGGUUCAAAACUCAGCACCACA